CGAUAGCGUAUAUUAAAGUUGUUGCAGUUAAAAAGCUCGUAGUUGGAUUUCGGGUGGGAAUGGCCGGUCCGCCGUUUCGGUGUGCACUUGCUACGCCCACCUUGCUGCCGGGGACGUGCUCUUGAGUUCACGCUCGGGACACGGAGUCGGCGAGGUUACUUUGAGUAAAUUAGAGUGUUCAAAGCAGGCCUACGCUCUGAAUACAUUAGCAUGGAAUAACACGAUAGGACUCUGGCCUAUCUUGUUGGUCUGUAGGACCGGAGUAAUGAUUAAGAGGGACAGUCGGGGGCAUUCGUAUUUCAUUGUCAGAGGUGAAAUUCUUGGAUUUAUGAAAGACGAACUACUGCGAAAGCAUUUGCCAAGGAUGUUUUCAUUAA
This 377-nucleotide ribosomal RNA is filed under the name uncultured eukaryote. RNAcentral describes it as "partial 18S ribosomal RNA". It matches the Rfam family "Eukaryotic small subunit ribosomal RNA", at positions 592 to 976 of the family's 1831-position model. The record is from RNAcentral.